UACGUAGGGGGCAAGCGUUGUCCGGAUUUAUUGGGCGUAAAGAGCGUGUAGGCGGCCUGGUAGGUCAGUUGUGAAAACUCGAGGCUCAACCUCGAGAUGUCGGCGGAAACCACUUGGCUAGAGUCCGGAAGAGGAGAGUGGAAUUCCCGGUGUAGCGGUGAAAUGCGCAGAUAUCGGGAAGAACACCUAUGGCGAAGGCAGCUCUCUGGGACGGUACUGACGCUGAGACGCGAAAGCGUGGGGAGCGAACAGG
Molecule: ribosomal RNA, 253 nt
Filed under: uncultured bacterium
Lineage: Bacteria
Description: partial 16S ribosomal RNA
Rfam family: Bacterial small subunit ribosomal RNA
Source: RNAcentral